CAAAUUUUAUUUGUCACGUACACAGUCAUACACAGUACGAUAUGCAGUGAAAUGCUUGGACAACUGCUCGUGACCUAAAGAAAACAAAAAAGGAAAAGGCUAUGAAUAAGAUAGGAAAUAAAUAUGAAAAAUUAAAAAGGGUAAAUUUAACUAGGAAGGAAUAAGAUAUAAAUUAAGGAAAUAAAUAUGAAAAAUUAAAAAGGGUAAAUUUAACAAGGAAGGAAUAAAAUAUAAAUUAAGGAAAUAAAUAUGAAAAAUUAAAAAGGGUAAAUUUAACUAGGAAGGAAUAAAAUAUAAAUUAAGGUUAAAAAUGAAAUAACUGUACAACACAAAUUAGAAUGAAAGGUAAAUUUAACUGGGAAGAAUAAGAUAAAUAUAUAAAUUAAAGUUGAAAAUAAAAUAACUGUACAACAAAAUACACAAUACACAAUAUAGAACUAUAUAAGAAUGUAUGAAGAAAUCUAAAUAUAAAUAAAUAUAUACACAAUAACAGCAGCUGUACAAGUAUUAACCGGAAAUGAAGAAUAUAGUGACCAGUGUUGUGCAAAACCAAAGUCCAGAAAGUCCAGUGUGUGUAAGAACCAUAUGUGUGGGUCAGUACUGUGUGGUGGUGUGAUUGAGAGACCGUAUCGCCUGCGGGAAGAAGCUCCUCCUCAGUCUCUCU
Long non-coding RNA from Astatotilapia calliptera (eastern happy), 664 nucleotides. The record is from Ensembl. NCBI's taxonomy places the organism in Eukaryota, Metazoa, Chordata, Actinopteri, Cichliformes, Cichlidae.